GAUGAACGCUGGCGGCGUGCCUAAUACAUGCAAGUCGAACGAGGUGCUUUUGUAGCAAUACGAGAGUAUCCUAGUGGCGAACGGGUGAGUAACGCGUUGGUGACCUACCCCAAAGUGUGGAAUAACAGUCCGAAAGGAUUGCUAAUACCGCAUGUGGUUAUCGGGUUUAGAAACUGAUAACUAAAGGAGCAAUUCGCUUUGGGAGGGACCUGCGUCCCAUCAGCUAGUUGGUGAGGUAAUGGCUCACCAAGGCUACGACGGGUAGGGGACCUGAGAGGGUGACCCCCCACAAUGGAACUGAAACACGGUCCAUACACCUACGGGUGACAGCAGUAGGGAAUAUUGCACAAUGGGCGAAAGCCUGAUGCAACAACGCCGCGUGCACGAUGAAGGCCUUCGGGUCGUAAAGUGCUUUUCUGGGAGAUGAGAAAGGACAGUAUCCCAGGAAUAAGUCUCGGCUAACUACGUG
Molecule: ribosomal RNA, 469 nt
Filed under: uncultured bacterium
Lineage: Bacteria
Description: partial 16S ribosomal RNA
Rfam family: Bacterial small subunit ribosomal RNA
Source: RNAcentral